GAUUAACGCUAGCGGCAGGCAUAAUACAUGCAAGUUGAACGAGAUUAGUUUUAGCAAUAGAACUUUUUUAGUGGCGCACGGGUGCGUAACGCGUAUGCAACCUACCUUAAACAGGGGAAUAGCCUCUCGAAAGAGAGAUUAAUACCGCAUAAUAUAUAUUUAGAGCAUUCUAGAUAUAUUAAACCUACGGGGGUUUAAGAUGGGCAUGCGUGACAUUAGCUAGUUGGUGAGGUAACGGCUCACCAAGGCAACGAUGUCUAGGGGGUCUGAGAGGAUGUCCCCCCACACUGGUACUGAGACACGGACCAGACUCCUACGGGAGGCAGCAGUAGGGAAUAUUGGUCAAUGGAGGCAACUCUGAACCAGCCAUGCCGCGUGCAGGACUAAGGCCCUAUGGGUCGUAAACUGCUUUUGAACGGGAAGAAAUGUAUCUACGUGUAGAUAUUUGACGGUACCGUUAGAAUAAGGAUCGGCUAACUUCGUGCCAGCAGCCGCGGUAAUACGAAGGAUCCAAGCGUUGUCCGGAUUUACUGGGUUUAAAGGGUGCGUAGGCGGACUUAUAAGUCAGUGGUGAAAGCCUUCAGCUUAACUGAAGAACUGCCAUUGAAACUGUAAGUCUCGAGUUCGGUUGAGGUCAUUGGAAUGUAACAUGUAGCGGUGAAAUGCAUAGAUAUGUUACAGAACACCAAUUGCGAAGGCAGAUGACUAAACCGAAACUGACGCUGAGGCACGAAAGCGUGGGGAUCAAACAGGAUUAGAUACCCUGGUAGUCCACGCCCUAAACGUUGAAUACUCGACCUUAGCGAUAUACAGUUAGGGUCCAAGCGAAAGCGUUAAGUAUUCCACCUGGGAAGUACGUUCGCAAGAAUG
Molecule: ribosomal RNA, 870 nt
Filed under: uncultured bacterium
Lineage: Bacteria
Description: bacterial SSU rRNA
Rfam family: Bacterial small subunit ribosomal RNA
Source: RNAcentral